UGGGGAAUAUUGGACAAUGGGCGCAAGCCUGAUCCAGCCAUGCCGCGUGAGUGAUGAAGGCCCUAGGGUUGUAAAGCUCUUUCACCGGUGAAGAUAAUGACGGUAACCGGAGAAGAAGCCCCGGCUAACUUCGUGCCAGCAGCCGCGGUAAUACGAAGGGGGCUAGCGCUGUUCGGAUUUACUGGGCGUAAAGCGCACGUAGGCGGACUAUUAAGUCAGGGGUGAAAUCCCGGGGCUCAACCCCGGAACUGCCUUUGAUACUGGUAGUCUUGAGUUCGAGAGAGGUGAGUGGAAUUCCGAGUGUAGAGGUGAAAUUCGUAGAUAUUCGGAGGAACACCAGUGGCGAAGGCGGCUCACUGGCUCGAUACUGACGCUGAGGUGCGAAAGCGUGGGGAGCAAACAGG
This 404-nucleotide ribosomal RNA is filed under the name Actinomycetes bacterium. Its description in RNAcentral is "Actinobacteria bacterium partial 16S ribosomal RNA". It matches the Rfam family "Bacterial small subunit ribosomal RNA", at positions 355 to 776 of the family's 1533-position model. The record is from RNAcentral. Lineage: Bacteria; Bacillati; Actinomycetota; Actinomycetes.